This 450-nucleotide ribosomal RNA is filed under the name uncultured bacterium. RNAcentral describes it as "partial 16S ribosomal RNA". It matches the Rfam family "Bacterial small subunit ribosomal RNA", at positions 338 to 795 of the family's 1533-position model. The record is from RNAcentral.
CCUACGGGGGGCUGCAGUGGGGAAUAUUGGACAAUGGGCGGAAGCCUGAUCCAGCAAUACCGCGUGUGUGAAGAAGGCCUGAGGGUUGUAAAGCACUUUCAAUAGGAAGGAAUACCUAUCCAUUAAUACUGGGUAGACUGACAUUACCUAUACAAGAAGCACCGGCUAACUCCGUGCCAGCAGCCGCGGUAAUACGGAGGGGGCAAGCGUUAAUGGGAAUUACUGGGCGGAAAGUCGUUAUGGGAGAUUCGAACGCCCUGGGCUUAACCUGGGAAUGGCAUUUGAUACUGGCGAGCUAGAGUUGAGUAGAGGGGAGUGGAAUUUCAGGUGUAGCGGUGAAAUGCGUAGAGAUCUGAAGGAACACCAGUGGCGAAGGCGACUCCCUGGACUCAAACUGACGCUGAGGUACGAAAGCGUGGGUAGCAAACAGGAUUAGAUACCCGGGUAGUC